GAUGAAGAACGCAGCGAAAUGCGAUAAGUAAUGUGAAUUGCAGAAUUCAGUGAAUCAUCGAAUCUUUGAACGCACAUUGCGCCCGCUAGUAUUCUGGCGGGCAUGCCUGUCCGAGCGUCAUUUCAACCCUCAAGCCCCCGGGCUUGGUGUUGGGGAUCGGCGAGCCUCCGCGCCCGCCGUCCCCUAAAUCUAGUGGCGGUCUCGCUGUAGCUUCCUCUGCGUAGUAGCACACCUCGCACUGGGAAACAGCGCGGCCACGCCGUUAAACCCCCAACUUCUGAACGUUUGACCUCGGAUCAGGUAGGAAUACCCGCUGAACUUAAGCAUAUCACUAAGCGAGGA
RNAcentral lists this unclassified non-coding RNA (342 nucleotides) under soil metagenome. RNAcentral's name for it is "partial contains 5.8S ribosomal RNA, internal transcribed spacer 2, and large subunit ribosomal RNA". The stretch from base 1 to 120 matches the Rfam family "5.8S ribosomal RNA", at positions 35 to 154 of the family's 154-position model. The record is from RNAcentral.